Non-coding RNA from Heterocephalus glaber (naked mole-rat), 3545 nucleotides. Lineage: Eukaryota; Metazoa; Chordata; Mammalia; Rodentia; Bathyergidae. The record is from RefSeq and is a predicted model, not a curated record.
CCCACCUCUCGGGGUUUGCUCAUGGCAUCGAGGCCACAGCCCUGGCGUCAGGGGCUGCAGUCGCAGCCAGGCAGCCAAAGGCAGGCUGCGUGGACAGCCUUAGAGGGGAGGGGGGUGGCCAGGCCAGGGGACACAGCCCUGCAUCCUGUCCGGUCUCUGUCCAGCACUGAUGUCCGGGACAUCUGUGGGCUACCGUCCCCACCCCAGGUUCUAUUGGAUCAAGAGUUCGGCUGGCUUCCGGCCACCCCUCCUCCCAGGACUCCGACCUCCGAGCCCCCUUUGUCCUGCGCCUCAGUCUCCUGGGUUGACUUUGGAGCAGAGCCCUAGGCUCUGGAGGACCAAGCCAAGAGGCCCAGGAGCAGGAGGAGAGUGCAGGUCGGAUGCUCGGCUCCUUUGGCAGGGCGGCCACGGGUCCAGGCGGCAAGAAGCCCUGCUGGGACUCACUCGCCCAGGGCCCACGCAGCGUCCACUGGGCGCCGCCUUUGAUCCGCUCUGCUGGGCGGGGCUGCAGCCUCUGCGGUUACCCUGGAGACGGCGAGAGAGUCCUGCGUGUCCUCGACAGAGCGUGGCCCUCUCUCUGCCUCCGCUGCUGGAGAGGACGGUGCUCCAGGAGGUCAAGGGCUGCGGAGAGGCGAGCAGGACCCCCCUGGGCCCGCGGGCCCGCGCCCCGCUCCUGGGGACGCUGAUCCCUUUCGAAGCCAGAGGCCCCUGCGGUGGGGGGCUGUCUGCACCCCAGUUCUCCGCAGUCAGUCUGCCAAACCACCAGAUAAUCCGCCCCGGUUCCCAGAGCCAUCCUGCCCACGCAGGUGCUCAGGCCAGCCCCGCGGGUUCCUUGACACCCACUCCGGUCCAGACCGGGGCCUGCCCCUCUGUCCCGGAGGAGGUCCAAGGGCGCGGAAACCUGUGCUCCCCUGUUUCCUCACUGGGUGCAGGGCAAUGAAGGUGUGAGUCACAGCCCGCUCACCGUGGUGGUGGGUAUGCUGUAGGGCAGAGGAGCGCCGCCACCAGGAGGGAUGUCCAGAGGCCCGGGGAGGGGCCUGUGGCCCUGCACCCCUGCUCUGCCCUGUCUGCCAGGCCAGGGCCCGGGAGCAGCUGAGGCCCCGCACCACGGUGCCUCCCCUCCACGCUGGAGGACUCCUGGAAGCUCAGCUGUCCUCGGCGCCGCCAGUGGGGAGGGUGACUCAGGCCCAGGCUUCUCGGGGCUGCUGGGAUUCCCCAGGCCGAGAGGAAGUGGUCCAGGGCUGAGCGAGGCUGGGUCUCCCCACCCGGUUCUCACCGCCUGCCUGGUGCCGGGUCCUACGCUCUCCUGCCGUCCCUGCCUCCGUCCCUCUGUCUAGUCUUCCGUCCAGGGGAAGGGACAUUGCCACACACGUGUAUCUGCAGGAAUCCACAGAGCGAGGCAGCUUCAGGACAGAUGACAGGAGACCCUGCCUUCACCUCCAAGCCUGCCUUUUUCUUGGGCAGGGACAAAAAACACACACGAGUUGAGCGUCCCUUAUCCGAAAUGCCUAGGACCAAAAGUAUUUUUGGAUUUUUUUUUUGGCUUGUUGAAUAUUUACAUGUAGAUAAAGAGAUCUCUCUUUAAAGAGGUCUCUGGGAAGGGACUCAAAUAUAAAACCAAAAUUUAUAUAUAUGUAUAUACCUUAAACACAUAGGCUGAAGGUAAUUUUAUAAAAUAACUAUAACUUUGUGCUCAAACCUUUCAUGAUGUGGAAUUUUCUACUUGCAGCAUCCUGUCCCCAAAUAAUUUCUGAUGCUUUUGAGUUUCCAGAUUUGGGGUGCUCAACUUGGACUGACUAUGUGGGUUGGGUGGUUGCUGUGAUACGCAGAAAACAAUGCUGAGCAGAGGGGGAGGGGAUAGAGUCGCAGUUUAAACAGGUUUAACUGUCCCAAGAGCACUGGGCCGGCCCGGCCUGCCCGAGUGGGUGACUUCAACACAGGCCUGAAGAAUGCCCUUGCAGGAAGAGCCUUUUGGGGGCAGAGCCCACUGCCAUCAGCUCUGAAAACUGCAGCCACUCAGAGGAGAAGUGGCAUCCAGGUGAGUGGCCCGUGUCCGCCCAGCGGGGAGCAUGCACGUGUCCAGGACUGACCUUGCACCUGUUGGAUGGAUGCUAGGGGUCUCCUCGAGGCACCCACAGGAGGGUCCUGUGUGAGGCUGUCAGGGAGGGCACAGAAGGGCAUGGGACCAGGGGGCCCGAGAGGCAGGCUCAACUCCAGCUUUGCUGCCCUGGGCCUUUUGACCCUAGGGGAAGAUGUUUCCUGGGAGAGACCUGUCCCUGCUGCCUUGGAAAGGAGGAAGUUGGGAGGAGAGACCCUGCUGGAGACAGGGGGACAAAGCCAGGGCACUCGGGAUGAUGAGAUGCUGCGGACAUGGGGCUGGGCUGAGAAUCAGGCCAAGCUUUGCUAGUAUCAUGUGCUCCGGCUGCUGUUGAGGGCCAGAGCCCUGGGGACCCGGCAGGAAAGGCAGAUGAGAAGAAGGGCAGGCGGCACGAAGGCCUUGGGAAAUGAGUUGCGUGUCCUUUGCUUUGCUGUCCCUCUGCCACUCUGAGGAUGAUUCAAGCUGACAGUCGCACUCCCACGGUGUUGAGAACAGAUCUGUCGCCCUAUUGCUCCAGUUCUUGUAGAAUCUUUUUGACUUUGGACCAGUGUGGGGCAAGAUCUUCUGAUCAAGUCACCAGAGCCCUCGGAAAUAGCUGAGUAAAAUAAUCCCAGGCACAUCUGAAAAGAAGGGAGACUUGGUGAGGUCUUGCCCCUGCUCCACUGCAUGAGGAUACAGCACACAGCUGUUUCCAUGAACCAGGAGGAGAGAAACACGGAACCUGCCAUUACCUCAGUCCUGGACUUCCGGGCCUGCAGAAAUCAGAAGAAGACUGGUCUAGUGGAGGCUGCCAGUUCCUGUGACUCAGCAUCCCACACAGAACUCAAGCCAGGCCUGCCAGGAAGCCCCUUGUGACUACGUGAGCUCACCAGGAUAAAACAAGAGACUCUCUCCGUGUCAAGAUUUUUAAUUUAAUCACAUCUUCAAAGUUCCCCUUUCCAUAUAACAUAACAUAUUCACAGGCCUCAGAGAUUAGCACACAGCAUCUUUGGACGGUGAUUAUUUUGUUUACUACAGUGGGAAAUAAAAGAAAGAGUUAGUGUCUUCCAUAGCGAAAAUGAGGGAAGAAUGUUAAAUAAAAAUUCUCCUGAGUUUCAUAAUAGGAUAAUUGAAAAAAGACCCACACUUAAAUACUUUGCCCUGCAUUUUUAGGCAGAUAAGAGGAAAGAAGAGACAUGGGUCCUUGGCCAAGGAAUGAGAUCUGUAGUGUGGUGUGCUAAAGAAAUCCUUCUCAAGGAUCAAGGGGAAAUUAUAUUGACUUGAAAUGAUACAGCCAGCUGAACUAUUAGCUAUAUAAGGAAGCAAUUUGUUUAUGUAUAAGAAACAAUUUUGAAAGUUAACCUCCUAUGAACUUAUUCUAGAAAGUAUAAUUUGAGGGCCAGGGAUUUAGCUCAGUGGUUCUGUGACCUGCCUUGCAAGUGCAAGGUCCCGAGUUCCAUCCCCGGUA